Molecule: unclassified non-coding RNA, 346 nt
Filed under: soil metagenome
Description: partial contains 5.8S ribosomal RNA, internal transcribed spacer 2, and large subunit ribosomal RNA
Rfam family: 5.8S ribosomal RNA (bases 1-120)
Source: RNAcentral
GAUGAAGAACGCAGCGAAAUGCGAUAAGUAAUGUGAAUUGCAGAAUUCCGUGAAUCAUCGAAUCUUUGAACGCAUAUUGCGCCCUCUGGUAUUCCGGGGGGCAUGCCUGUCCGAGCGUCAUUGCUGCCCUCAAGCCCGGCUUGUGUGUUGGGUCUCGUCCCCCUUCCCGGGGGGACGGGCCCGAAAGGCAGCGGCGGCACCGCGUCCGGUCCUCGAGCGUAUGGGGCUUUGUCACCCGCUCUGUAGGCCCGGCCGGCGCUUGCCGAUCAACCAAAACUUUUUUCCAGGUUGACCUCGGAUCAGGUAGGGAUACCCGCUGAACUUAAGCAUAUCAAUAAGCGGAGGA